This is a long non-coding RNA of Mastomys coucha (southern multimammate mouse), 1045 nucleotides long. RefSeq lists it as uncharacterized. NCBI's taxonomy places the organism in Eukaryota, Metazoa, Chordata, Mammalia, Rodentia, Muridae. The transcript has 3 exons. The record is from RefSeq and is a predicted model, not a curated record.
UUCCCAACUGCCAGGGCCUCAAGAAUGGGGUGGGGCUGAGGGAGCUGAGGAUGAAGACUGAGGAUGAGGUGUGCUAACAGGGGGUAGGCUGGCCCAGUUAUCUGGGAGCCAUGUCUGAAUCAGACGGUCCUAUUUUCAGCUCUUCCUAUGGGGAGCAGAGAAGGCACAAGGUAAGAGGGAAGCAUCAGUGAGAGGCACUGAUAGGCUCACCUACCAGAACCGGAAGGGAUCUGAAUCAGUCUUACUCUGCCUCCCAGUCUCUUCAGCCUGGGCCCUGGAUUGGAGUUGGACAAGCAAUAUUCUAACUCCCUUCAAUCCCAGAAACUCCCAGUUUGUCUGCCUCCUACGAGAAGGUCCUGUGCAAGACUGAGUAAAGGAUCCUACUUCUGACAAAGGCUAAGAACACAAUCUAGUUCAAGCUGCUUGUAUUUCUUUAUGAACAAACACAGUCCCACAAAGCUGAACUAGCACUUCCCAGAACGGCUGCUUCCAAGUCCUCUGCCGCCAGCAAUGGUGACCAGAGAGAGCAGUAAUAAGGAGUUCUACAGAGCAGAGGAACUGAGCAGAGGAUGUGUCCCUCCAUCUCUCCACGCCAUUUCUGUAAUAGACAAUGACCUUUUCUUCUUGGGCAUGGGUAGCUGUAAAGAUGGUGGCCUGGAACCAGGUGCGGAGCAUGGAAUUUUUCCACUGGAGACCCCAAGGCUGGUGGUCAACAGGUGAAGAUCAACGGCUAUAAGGCAUCCCCUGUCGUAGGCCUGCAGGUGUUUCCAGCUACCUAGGACCUCAGCUGUGCUUCUCAGAGGGAACAUCAGCAAACAGCCUCUGCCCAGGAUCAAAGCUUCCUCACAGCAUGGCACAUUGAGGUGUUUGGAGUCUUUGGAUGAAAACUCAAGGAUCCAUACAAGAAUCUUCAGAGAACCAGAUGAGUGGCCUACUACCUUGAUGUGUAGGAUUCCUCCUUGAAAGUUACCUUUAUCUUCUUGCCAAUCCCCGAGCCUGUCCGGAUCAAGAGAGAGAAUGCAAACUUCACUUUUAUUUUAAAGCA